GCCUGGAAAGCUCAGUUGGUUAGAGCACGGUGCUGAUAAAUGCCAAGGUUGCAAGUUUGAUCCCUGUAUGGGACA
This is a non-coding RNA of Podarcis lilfordi (Lilford's wall lizard), 75 nucleotides long. The record is from the annotation of a GenBank genome assembly. NCBI's taxonomy places the organism in Eukaryota, Metazoa, Chordata, Lepidosauria, Squamata, Lacertidae.